UCCAAUUGAAGCAGAGGACAGUGGCGGACGGGUGAGUAACGCGUGAGGAACCUGCCUUUCAGAGGGGGACAACAGUUGGAAACGACUGCUAAUACCGCAUGACACAUAGGUGUCGCAUGGCACUUAUGUCAAAGAUUUAUCGCUGUAAGAUGGCCUCGCGGUCGAUUAGAUAGUUGGCGGGGUAACGGCCCACCAAGUCGACGAUCGAUAGCCGGACUGAGAGGUUGAUCGGCCACAUUGGGACUGAGACACGGCCCAGACUCC
This 264-nucleotide ribosomal RNA is filed under the name uncultured Oscillospiraceae bacterium. RNAcentral's name for it is "partial 16S ribosomal RNA". It matches the Rfam family "Bacterial small subunit ribosomal RNA", at positions 76 to 339 of the family's 1533-position model. Lineage: Bacteria; Bacillati; Bacillota; Clostridia; Eubacteriales; Oscillospiraceae. The record is from RNAcentral.